RNAcentral lists this transfer RNA (74 nucleotides) under Planctomycetota bacterium. RNAcentral's name for it is "Planctomycetes bacterium (soil metagenome) tRNA-Cys". It matches the Rfam family "tRNA". Rfam says of the family: Transfer RNA (tRNA) molecules are approximately 80 nucleotides in length. Their secondary structure includes four short double-helical elements and three loops (D, anti-codon, and T loops). Further hydrogen bonds mediate the characteristic L-shaped molecular structure. tRNAs have two regions of fundamental functional importance: the anti-codon, which is responsible for specific mRNA codon recognition, and the 3' end, to which the tRNAs corresponding amino acid is attached (by aminoacyl-tRNA synthetases). tRNAs cope with the degeneracy of the genetic code in two manners: having more than one tRNA (with a specific anti-codon) for a particular amino acid; and 'wobble' base-pairing, i.e. permitting non-standard base-pairing at the 3rd anti-codon position. Lineage: Bacteria; Pseudomonadati; Planctomycetota. The record is from RNAcentral.
GGCGCCAUGGCGGAAUGGCUACGCAGCGGAUUGCAAAUCCGCGUAUCCCGGUUCAAUUCCGGGUGGCGCCUCCA